Stylophora pistillata is the source of this 847-nucleotide long non-coding RNA. RefSeq lists it as uncharacterized. NCBI's taxonomy places the organism in Eukaryota, Metazoa, Cnidaria, Anthozoa, Scleractinia, Pocilloporidae. The record is from RefSeq and is a predicted model, not a curated record.
CACCCAUCAUUGUGUCGGAUAUUUCGUGUUGCAGCCAUUUCUUGAUCGGACGAAGAAUGAGGCUUUGUCCGACGUUGUCUCUUUUCGCCAGAUCCCUCGAUAGUCUAGGCACUAGACUGUGUGAAAAUGAGAGGUCUCUUUUUAAGUACACCGGCCGGAGUCCAAAUUUGGGCUCUAUAAGCCGAGAUAAAGAGAUGUAUUCACUCGGAAUGAACUCCGAGAUGCAACGGAAACCCACAGUUGGUUAAAAAAUGGUAGGUAAAGAAGCUGAAAUAGAAGUCCUAAACAACAGCUGCUAACGGGAGUUACAUCCCACGAAAUUACGUUUAAAUGGCUUACGUGGGUUAUUGCGAGAUGCCUAUUAUUCAAAUGAAAGCAAUAACCCGGAUGUUUCCGGAACACCGUAAGAGAUGAGAGGUUCAUUAAGACGUCUAAUGAUUUUGCGAUGUAAAGAGCUGGAAAAGAAAGAAGAUGCCAUCUACUGCUGUAGUCUACUUCAUGCCAGAUAAAUGAAGUAGUAAUCCUUUUUCUGUCUGAUGUCGUGACGGUCGGUCAGUAAUGAAGAAAUAAAUGGAAUCCACCGCGACGAGCAACUCGGCGUGGUGGAUUAAAGAUAACUCUUCUAUUCAAGAAAGAGAUGCCAUAAAUUUGUGCGUUUUUUUUUUUUUUUUUUUAAGGAAAAAUGCUGCUAUAUACAAACGAAAUAUUUUUCAUAUCAACUAUUCAUACGUACCCUCUCGACGGACCUCUAAAUUUCCUUCUAACUAUUUUACGCUUUCUUCUCCAAAACCCGUUUCUUGACGAGCAAUUCAGCAAGUAAAUUAAAGGUAACUCUUUUCAAGAGAGA